CUCUCUCCUCCUCCUCCUCCUCCUCCUCCAUUGUUCUACCAAAUCACUAUUUAUUGUCCCACGUUCCACAUCAUGGUAUUAAUGCUUGAUCAGAUUUGUUAGAUCUUUGGUGCUGAGUCCAGAAAGUUCUUCACCCAAAAGCUGCCUGUGGUUCAUAAAAAAAGAAACACAUGGAAGAAGACAUUGCAAUUUCCCAAUUUCAAAUCUUGGGUGUCAUUUCCUUAAUAAUUCUUGGAUUUGUACCCCAUGAAAAUAGUUGAGGUGCGUGCAAGUUGAUCCAUACAUCACGCUUAUCAUAAAAAAGUACUUCGAAAUGAUGAACACCACUUCACUAUGUACGACGUUUUUGUUUUUUUCCAACUAUGCCUCAAUUUCAAGCUAGUUGAGGAAUUAAUCGCUCUCAUAUCCAUGUCAAGGAGAUAUAUACCAACUGGAAGUUUCGAGGAAUUGACAAAUUUGGCAUAUACAAACUAAAACCUGGUAUAGGGCAUUGUCCAAUCUCAGGUGUUCCUUUGAUAUUCCCAGUCCACUCUUGCGACCAAAGAAAGAACACAAUGAAGUAGGUUAAGGUCAGCUAAAGGAUUUGAUGGGGCUAAGGAUGGUUCCAAAAAGAGCAGCUACUUUAGAUGAACGCUACUGUGGUUGCACUAUUUAUUUGCAUGCAUGAAAUUGACAUACGUGUAUCCUGUUCGCUCGAGCCAUGAUAAAGAUGGGUGAAUUCGAUAUCAAAGGGAUGAAAAGAAGCUGAUAGCAUAAUACAUGAGUAGGUUGGCCAAGAAUAACCUUGAUGAUCAAGAGAACUUUACUGACCAUCCCUAAAUCCCAACGAAAGCCUUCUACCGGGGCUUUGCUGGGAAAACCUGCUUAAAAAAAUGGACAUGUGUGAAGACCAAGAGCGGUUAUUCACUUUUCUUCUUCCUUAGUCUAAGCAAUCAAUUUGUGAGAUAAAUUAAUUCUCCAUUUGUAGUUAGAUUUUUGCGUUUGUAUAACCUUUUUUUUCGAGUUCUACCUUGAAAGGAAACCUACAAUGAGAUUGUACCCGAAUAGAGAUGGUGGUCUUACUCUGGCCCAUAAUAGAAUAGCUAGGUGAAGCAGUCAAUCGAUCUUAUAUAUAAGAAGAACAAAAGAUCUUUCUUGAUCAA
This 1142-nucleotide long non-coding RNA is filed under the name Solanum lycopersicum (tomato). Its description in RNAcentral is "uncharacterized LOC104645392, transcript variant 2 (LOC104645392)". Lineage: Eukaryota; Viridiplantae; Streptophyta; Magnoliopsida; Solanales; Solanaceae. The record is from RNAcentral.